Long non-coding RNA from Carassius gibelio (silver crucian carp), 765 nucleotides. RefSeq lists it as uncharacterized. The record is from RefSeq and is a predicted model, not a curated record. NCBI's taxonomy places the organism in Eukaryota, Metazoa, Chordata, Actinopteri, Cypriniformes, Cyprinidae. The transcript is spliced from 4 exons.
AUUUCAACAUUUAACGAUGUGUUUCAGUAUCAUAAAAGCAAUGCAGAUUCUUUCAGACUUGUCAUAUUUCUUUUCAGUUGAUGAGGGCGAGUGUAUUUUUUUUGCGGUUUCAUUUGUCGUGGUGUCAGGAGCCUUGCACACAGAUGGCAUUAGCCAGACCAACCUAAAAUAUACAGCUUUUUAAUGUAAUUUGAGGAGAGGACCUGUACUUCCAUGACUGAGCUGCAUAAGUGUUUUCCCAAAAUGGCCAGAGAGUGAACCGAUUCACCUUGAAAGAAGCUUUGAGCGUUGAGUGGAGGGAAUCCUGAUGUGGAACUGGAGCAGAGUGAUUCUAAAACAUUUUGAAAGGGGAGGGAAAAUAUACAACGUCCAGCAGGUAAAACAGCUGUGUUAUGUUCAUUACAGCAACAUAUCAAAUAAUGCCAGGCUUUAGAGCAUUCCAUUUAACUUCCUGUCAUCUUCUUGAGUGCCGCCCACUCUUCUCUGGAGCCACACGGAACACAUCUGAACAACACUGCAAGAAAAGAAGAGGAGUAGAGACAUUGCAACAAGUGUGAUGCGGUAACAUGCGGAAAGGAUGUAGUGGUACAGCAGUCUACAAGAAGACAUUAAGGGCAUGUCAAAUUAACUUUCAAAAGUUCAAGGACGUGAUAAUAAGUCCAGCAAACCUGUGAUGUGUGUGAGGAGAGCUAUGCCUAUAAAUACAAGAAUAAUGGCCGUGGUAUUCUUUCAUGACAAUAAAUUAAUGGAACCCAAGGGACUUUU